This 1345-nucleotide ribosomal RNA is filed under the name uncultured bacterium. Its description in RNAcentral is "partial 16S ribosomal RNA". It matches the Rfam family "Bacterial small subunit ribosomal RNA", at positions 28 to 1381 of the family's 1533-position model. The record is from RNAcentral.
GACGAACGCUGGCGGCGUGCUUAACACAUGCAAGUCGAACGGAAAGGCCCUGCUUUUGUGGGGUGCUCGAGUGGCGAACGGGUGAGUAGCACGUGAGUAACCUGCCCUUGACUUUGGGAUAACUUCAGGGAACUGGGGCUAAUACCGGAUAGGAGCUCCUGCUGCAUGGUGGGGGUUGGAAAGUUUCGGCGGUUGGGGAUGGACUCGCGGCUUAUCAGCUUGUUGGUGGGGUAGUGGCUUACCAAGGCUUUGACGGGUAGCCGGCCUGAGAGGGUGACCGGCCACAUUGGGACUGAGAUACGGCCCAGACUCCUACGGGAGGCAGCAGUGGGGAAUAUUGCACAAUGGGCGGAAGCCUGAUGCAGCAACGCCGCGUGCGGGAUGACGGCCUUCGGGUUGUAAACCGCUUUCGCCUGUGACGAAGCGUGAGUGACGGUAAUGGGUAAAGAAGCACCGGCUAACUACGUGCCAGCAGCCGCGGUGAUACGUAGGGUGCGAGCGUUGUCCGGAUUUAUUGGGCGUAAAGGGCUCGUAGGUGGUUGAUCGCGUCGGAAGUGUAAUCUUGGGGCUUAACCCUGAGCGUGCUUUCGAUACGGGUUGACUUGAGGAAGGUAGGGGAGAAUGGAAUUCCUGGUGGAGCGGUGGAAUGCGCAGAUAUCAGGAGGAACACCAGUGGCGAAGGCGGUUCUCUGGGCCUUUCCUGACGCUGAGGAGCGAAAGCGUGGGGAGCGAACAGGCUUAGAUACCCUGGUAGUCCACGCUGUAAACGGUGGGUACUAGGUGUGGGGUCCAUUCCACGGGUUCCGUGCCGUAGCUAACGCUUUAAGUACCCCGCCUGGGGAGUACGGCCGCAAGGCUAAACUCAAAGGAAUUGACGGGGCCCCGCACAAGCGGCGGAGCAUGCGGAUUAAUUCGAUGCAACGCGUAGAACCUUACCUGGGUUUGACAUGGAUCGGGAGUGCUCAGAGAUGGGUGUGCCUCUUUUGGGGUCGGUUCACAGGUGGUGCAUGGCUGUCGUCAGCUCGUGUCGUGAGAUGUUGGGUUAAGUCCCGCAACGAGCGCAACCCUUGUUCACUGUUGCCAGCACGUUAUGGUGGGGACUCAGUGGAGACCGCCGGGGUCAACUCGGAGGAAGGUGGGGAUGACGUCAAGUCAUCAUGCCCCUUAUGUCCAGGGCUUCACGCAUGCUACAAUGGCUGGUACAGAGAGUGGCGAGCCUGUGAGGGUGAGCGAAUCUCGGAAAGCCGGUCUCAGUUCGGAUUGGGGUCUGCAACUCGACCUCAUGAAGUCGGAGUCGCUAGUAACCGCAGAUCAGCAACGCUGCGGUGAAUACGUUCCCGGGGCU